RNAcentral lists this long non-coding RNA (281 nucleotides) under Lathyrus oleraceus (garden pea). RNAcentral describes it as "Pisum sativum (pea) long non-coding RNA (PSAT_LNC006946)". Lineage: Eukaryota; Viridiplantae; Streptophyta; Magnoliopsida; Fabales; Fabaceae. The record is from RNAcentral.
AAAGUUAUAAUUUGAAUUUGGCUCAUUGUUUUCACAUGGCAACACUUGCAUUAGCUUCAAAAUAGCAUUUUCAAGUGAAUUAAAACAGAAUUCGUGCACUGUUCCAUUGGUUUUGCAUACAUGAGGUGCAUUGGCCAAUUUGCAUUUACACUCUCUUUUCACUAAUCCAUUGGCAAUUGGUUAAGCAUGAUUAGCAAACAUGAUUAAGAGCUUAUAUAUAAGCCUAAGCAUAACAGAAAACUGCAUUAACAACAUCACAAUUUCCAGAUCUGAAAAAUUUC